This 434-nucleotide ribosomal RNA is filed under the name uncultured Roseburia sp. Its description in RNAcentral is "partial 16S ribosomal RNA". It matches the Rfam family "Bacterial small subunit ribosomal RNA", at positions 341 to 792 of the family's 1533-position model. Lineage: Bacteria; Bacillati; Bacillota; Clostridia; Lachnospirales; Lachnospiraceae. The record is from RNAcentral.
ACGGAAGGCAGCAGUGGGGAAUAUUGCACAAUGGGCGAAAGCCUGAUGCAGCGACGCCGCGUGAGUGAUGAAGUAUUUCGGUAUGCAAAGCUCUAUCAGCAGGGAAGAUAAUGACGGUACCUGACUAAGAAGCACCGGCUAAAUACGUGCCAGCAGCCGCGGUAAUACGUAUGGUGCAAGCGUUAUCCGGAUUUACUGGGUGUAAAGGGAGCGCAGGCGGUACGGCAAGUCUGAUGUGAAAGCCCGGGGCUCAACCCCGGUACUGCAUUGGAAACUGUCGAACUAGAGUGUCGGAGGGGUAAGUGGAAUUCCUAGUGUAGCGGUGAAAUGCGUAGAUAUUAGGAGGAACACCAGUGGCGAAGGCGACUUACUGGACGAUAACUGACGCUGAGGCUCGAAAGCGUGGGGAGCAAACAGGAUUAGAUACCCUGGUA